RNAcentral lists this non-coding RNA (29 nucleotides) under Homo sapiens (human). The record is from RNAcentral. Lineage: Eukaryota; Metazoa; Chordata; Mammalia; Primates; Hominidae.
UGGGAAUGAGACAAUGGUGGGAAAAGAGG